Pelobates cultripes (western spadefoot toad) is the source of this 370-nucleotide non-coding RNA. Lineage: Eukaryota; Metazoa; Chordata; Amphibia; Anura; Pelobatidae. The record is from the annotation of a GenBank genome assembly.
GUGAAUUAGAAUUUGAAAAACUAUUUUCCAGCUAUCAUCACUAGCAGCCAGCAUGCAACGUGUUAACUAUGUGGCAGCUAGUCAAGAUGACAUCCAUAUAACUAUGAGGAAGGUUUUAUUCUCCCUUAUGGAGGUUGUUGUCAUAUCUUCUAAACAUUUAAGUCUAGUGACUGAGCUGACCUAGACUCCACAUUAAUUUACAGGUCACACCCCAAUGGUAAAAUGCGGACUUUGUUAAACAGUUUAAAAGAUUUCCCGAUUUUGCUGUAAAGUGGCCCUCUACAGCACUGAAUGGUUUUACCCUGUUUGAUCUGGGGCCAUUUGGACUUUAGUGACUAAUCCUGACACUAAUUAAUUGUUUAAAGUGAAC